RNAcentral lists this unclassified non-coding RNA (211 nucleotides) under rhizosphere metagenome. RNAcentral describes it as "partial ribosomal RNA internal transcribed spacer region". The record is from RNAcentral.
GUAGGUGAACCUGCGGAAGGAUCAUUAAUGAUUGAACGUCUGUCGAGCUUGCUCACAGGCACAUCAUAUCCAUAACACCUGUGCACUUGUCGGAUGGCUUAGUGAAGACCGCAAGGUUGGAUCUAUCCAUCUACUUUACAUAACAAUUCUGUAACAAAUGUAGUCUUAUUAUAACAUAAUAAAACUUUCAACAACGGAUCUCUUGGCUCUC